RNAcentral lists this ribosomal RNA (760 nucleotides) under uncultured bacterium. RNAcentral's name for it is "bacterial SSU rRNA". It matches the Rfam family "Bacterial small subunit ribosomal RNA", at positions 56 to 825 of the family's 1533-position model. The record is from RNAcentral.
UGCAGUCGAACGGUGAUAGUAAUAUCAUAGUGGCGCACGGGUGCGUAACACGUAUGCAACCUACCUUAUACUGAGGGAUAGCCUUUCGAAAGGGAGAUUAAUACCUCAUAACACAUUGAACUGGCAUCAGUUUAUUGUUAAAGAUUUAUUGGUAUAAGAUGGGCAUGCGUCCAAUUAGUUAGUUGGCGAGGUAACGACUCACCAAGACGAUGAUUGGUAGGGGAACUGAGAGGUUAAUCCCCCACACUGGCUCUGAGAUACGGGCCAGACUCCUACGGGAGGCAGCAGUAGGGAAUAUUGGGCAAUGGAGGCAACUCUGACCCAGCCAUGCCGCGUGCAGGAAGAAGGCGUUAUGCGUUGUAAACUGCUUUUAUAUAGGAAGAAAUAGACCUUGCGAGGUAAGUUGACGGUACUAUAUGAAUAAGCACCGGCCAACUCCGUGCCAGCAGCCGCGGUAAUACGGAGGGUGCAAGCGUUGUCCGGAUUUAUUGGGUUUAAAGGGUGCGUAGGCGGUUUAUUAAGUCAGUGGUGAAAGACGGUCGCUCAACGAUUGCAGUGCCAUUGAUACUGGUAGACUUGAGUGGGAUUGAGGUAGCUGGAAUGGAUAGUGUAGCGGUGAAAUGCAUAGAUAUUAUCCAGAACACCAAUUGCGUAGGCAAGUUACUAAGUCUCAACUGACGCUGAGGCACGAAAGUGUGGGUAUCAAACAGGAUUAGAUACCCUGGUAGUCCACACUGUAAACGAUGAUAACUAACUGUUG